GUUUGCUUGUGAUUCGUUACGCUAGGUUAGAUUAGGUUAGGUUAAGUUAGGUUAGAUUCAUUCGUACAACAUCAUACGAUGUUAUUAUUCGCUAUGGAUUCAAAUCCGGUAAUAACCAGGAGUUCUAUAAAUUGAAAGUGUUGCCAGAAUAAUCUUAGAGAAAAAAAUGGACCACGAAGAGGAGUUUCUCAGUAAUUUUUUUACCCAAGUAUCGCAGCUCUGUGUUGACAAGGCGAAAGAAUCUGUGGAAAAGGAGAAGGAAUUAUGUCGUACCAUGCAAACGGGUCCUUGGGGAUUGCUGUUGACGGAUCUGCCACAAAUUGCAGUCGCAGAGCGAUCUUACGCGGACUUGGGCUUUCUGCAUACUAAGAAUAAGGGCUUUCUGAGAAAGGAUAAUUCCUUGCGCACAAUAUACGAGUCGUCCAGAUCAGACCUCAAGAAGGUGGAAGAUGCAAGUCGUGGAUUCAAUGCGAUCGGAGCAACUGUUGCAGAGGUCUCGGGUCAGCUCUGCCAAUUUCUUACGGCGAGAAUACAGCUGAUAGAUUUCUACGAGAAGAUGUACAGCAUGGGAACAAGCAGAAGUGUCAAAUAUCAAGAGCUGCUCCAGGUUAUAACUGGAAUUGUGGACGUGCAUUCGCUCUCUUGUUCACACUUGGCGCUCAUCGCUAUCAAAACCGCUCUGACUCUAGAGUGUGAAAUACUAGUCGAACUACUCAACGCACAAAUCGAAAUUCAGAACUGGCGGUUUUUGCCUGCCCUUAUGGCUCUAUACGGCGCCCAAACUCGAAUGUCUGCAUGGGAAAGAACCUUGCAGAGUAAAGAGUCGUGGAAGUUGGGAUUCGGGUCAACUUUUCUGAAAACUAAUCCACAGCCGGCGUUAUAUCAAUGGCUUGUAAAAUUGAAGAACAGCAUACUGGCUAAAUGCUCUCUCUAUUUUCACGCUACGCUUAGUCAACAGGCUAGUACAGGUGAAAUGAGAAGUAUCAUGAGCAAACAGAGCUGCGACUAUUAUCACAAAAUGCAAACAUUCCAAAGAAAAUAUGAUCUCAUCGCUGUCCUGAUAGUCUUUCAUGCCACAGGGGCAGACAGCCCUGGUCCAGGAUACACGCACCCUAAGCGAGAAGUCGAUACGUCUGAAGAAUUUUCCAUCAUGGUCAGCUGUCCGAGUGUCUACAUGCAAAUGCCCUGCCAGCAUUGGAACAGCAUCACCAAAGCAAUGAAGGAGCGACACCCGGAUCUCUUGAGCAUGGACAAGAUUAUAUACACGAAAAGUUUGAAGGAGCUCUGCACCUAUGCAAUGAACAACAUAGAUCCACGAACGACACUUGUGGUUGUUUUCGAUACCAGCAAACAACGUGACAAGGAAUCCCACGUAGCGACUUUCAUGCAGGAAAUAUGCGUUCAACUCAGAUGCAGCAAAGUUUACGAAAGCCUGAAGCUGUCGAAGUGAAAAAUAAGCAGAGAUAUUCUCGAAGGUCCGGAGAUACGAGAGUUUGAAGAUCACCGUGCACAAAUGUUCGCCGUAUUUUUGAAAUUUCCGAUUUCGUGUAACUCCGAAAGUAUUGAAAGUAAAAUUCGAAUGAAAUUUGGGAAGUUACUCAUUUCCAUGCAACUGUCUUCACACCUAGUGCCCGUUAUAAGAAUUACAGAAUAAAGCGUUGAUUUCAACAUCUGCUGAGACUCGCUAAUAUCACUGUCAAUCAAUAUGGAUCGACAGAUGUACUUUAUGAGGUUCAUAACAAUGUUGAAUAAGUACAUAAAACGACAGAAAAGUAAUAUCAGACGCUAGAGAAUGAACAGAGUUACAAUAAAAUACAGGCAGAAUUAUCGCUCAAAGAGUACAAGAUAAAGCAGACUGCCCACGAUCAAAUGAGGAGAAUCACAAAAAACAAGUCACGUGUACCGCAUCAAAAUUCGCAAUAGUGCAACUGAUUAACAAACAAAAGGGUCUUUCCGUGACCUUCGUGCCACGGGCACCCGGCGAACCGAGCCAUGAUGCCAACAGAAGUUGCGGGGCGAUGUGGGCUGACGGAAGAGGAUUGGCUCCAGUGGCGUGCGACACAAAGCGGCAUUUUCUCUGCGAAAUUUCGAGACCAAAGUACGACGAUUAGUCGCGAUAGAUCCUUACGAUCUGAUACCACAUUGCAUUAAAUUGAAGAAGUGAAAAAGUCAUACUGCAGCCACGGAACGCUAGUCAUCAAUCGAAUAAUUAAUUUCUCAAAUUGGAAACUGAAAAGUCAGUAUAAUCGCUCUCGACGCAGGGAAGUGGUGAGUGUAAACGGCGGAUGCGGCGAGUCACAGUGGCAAAGGUCGGCCUGGUCGGCCAUCCGGUCAACAUAUGAGUUCUACGCGUCCGACCGACGCGAUUGUUUCCACUGUCCGCCGUCCCGCCGCAUUGACUCGUUCUACUUGCCGCCACGCGCGUAAUUCCGUUGCAUCUGCGGCGGAAAAGGAUAGCGGACCGGAAGCGUUAUCCGCCGAUAACAAAUUCCCAUCACGUUUAAGUUGUUGACGUCAUUGUAACGACGAGUGUUGAAAGGAACCGUUGUUUCGCAAAUUUAAAACCGUCCGAACUGCGGUAAAUCGUGUAAAGCAAGGCGUCCUAAUAUUUUGAAAAUUUAGCAUCUUCGAAGUCAUUGUAAAAUCCAAAAAUAUUGCAUUUUUUUCCCGAUGUCUCGAUAACGUUACGGCAACUUUACUGACUGUAACCUCGUGAAUUCCCCCGAUUGACGGCAUCGAAUGCGAUAGAAAAAAGGUGACGAAACUACCAGAACACGAGGAAUUUAGAAAUGUUUGAAGUGUGUCUUUAAAGCCAAUCUACGGUUGAAUCUGCGUUCAGUAUAAAAAAAAAAUUGUUUAAAACACUCAAGCUUGACUGCGGAACACAUCUUAUUAUGUUGGUAAAAAAAAUAAAAUAAAAAUCACAUUAACCUGUAACUUUUUACCAAAAUAUCCAUGUCACCUGUUCGAUUCUGAUGAAAAAUAGGUCAUUUCAUUCGUAAGUAUAUUCUCUAAUGUGUGAAUUUUAUCCCUGAAUUGGAUAAAAUAGAUCGCGAGAAUUGCAGAUCUCUGAUGAAACGUACAAUCCGUCUCAAUUCACCCGAUUACGCGAACUUUUCGAUUAUAUUUUAAAAGACCUCUGUUUUUCUGACGAAGUUCAUUGGACACAAUUUCGACCCAACUGCAUGUUUCGUAAACCUUGAAGACUAGACCAAAACAGGGCUUCGGGAAACAUCAUAUUGCAGUACGAGAUUGACGCUUCGUCAAUUGUUUCGACGUUAGUCGGACUCCGGUGGAGAUUUCUGAUUAUGAACCGAAGCAAGUUUGAGAACGAUUAAAAUUAUGUCUCUGUUACUGAUUGAUUUGUAUAGUUGAAUUUAUAUUACUUCAAUAUCUCGGUUAAUCUUUUUAUCUCUCAGUGUAUCAAUUAAAUAAAAUGAAUUAAUAAGA
This 3450-nucleotide unclassified non-coding RNA is filed under the name Neodiprion lecontei (redheaded pine sawfly). Its description in RNAcentral is "kICSTOR subunit 2, transcript variant X2". The record is from RNAcentral. Lineage: Eukaryota; Metazoa; Arthropoda; Insecta; Hymenoptera; Diprionidae.